Molecule: ribosomal RNA, 253 nt
Filed under: uncultured bacterium
Lineage: Bacteria
Description: partial 16S ribosomal RNA
Rfam family: Bacterial small subunit ribosomal RNA
Source: RNAcentral
UACGUAGGGGGCAAGCGUUGUCCGGAUUUAUUGGGCGUAAAGCGUGCGCAGGCGGUUGUGCAAGACCGAUGUGAAAUCCCCGGGCUUAACCUGGGAAUGGCAUUGGUGACUGCACGGCUAGAGUGUGUCAGAGGGGGGUAGAAUUCCACGUGUAGCAGUGAAAUGCGUAGAGAUGUGGAGGAAUACCGAUGGCGAAGGCAGCCCCCUGGGAUAACACUGACGCUCAUGCACGAAAGCGUGGGGAGCAAACAGG